Molecule: ribosomal RNA, 641 nt
Filed under: Helicobasidium longisporum II
Lineage: Eukaryota; Fungi; Basidiomycota; Pucciniomycetes; Helicobasidiales; Helicobasidiaceae
Description: LSU rRNA
Rfam family: Eukaryotic large subunit ribosomal RNA
Source: RNAcentral
GCAUAUCAAUAAGCGGAGGAAAAGAAACUAACAAGGAUUCCCCUAGUAACGGCGAGUGAAGAGGGAACAGCCCAAAUUUGUAAUCUGGCCCCUUUGGGGUCCGAGUUGUAAUCUCGAGAACUGUUUUCCGCGCUGGACCAUGUACAAGUCUGUUGGAAUAUAGCUUCAUAGAGGGUGAGAAUCCCGUACAUGACAUGGACUACCAGUGCUUUGCGAUACAGUCUCUAAGAGUCGAGUUGUUUGGGAAUGCAGCUCAAAUUGGGUGGUAAAUUCCAUCUAAGGCUAAAUAUUGGCGAGAGACCGAUAGCGAACAAGUACCGUGAGGGAAAGAUGAAAAGCACUUUGGAAAGAGAGUUAACAGUACGUGAAAUUGUUGAAAGGGAAACGCUUGAAGUCAGCCUUGUUCUUGGUUGUUCAGCCCUUGCGGCGUAUUCAACCUUGAGCAGGCCAGCAUCAGUUUUGAGUGCUGGAUAAGGGCUUAGGAAAUGUGGCAGCCUUGGCUGUGUUAUAGUCCUUUGCUUGAUACAGUGCCCUGGGACUGAGGAAUGCAGCGAGCCUUUUUGGCGGGUCCAUUUUAUGGACCUUCUCGCUUUGGAUGCUGGCGUAAUGGCUUUAAACGACCCGUCUUGAAACACGGACCA